UCUAGCGUGGCGUAGAAUCGGCAUAUGAGUAUCUUGUAUAAAAAUUUUACUUACGUCACCGUGCGAACCCGACCAUAAUAUACUUAGUGAAGAAUAUAUCCCUAUCUGUAUUGGUAGGUAGCUUGAAAUAAGCAGGUGUGGUGAUGAUAGCAAAAGCUUCUAGUGUUGUGGGCGGUGGGGAUUAAUUUUGUAAAUACGUGGACAAUACGUGGCCUACAAUAUAUAAAAAUGCUUCAAUCCAAUGCGGUUAAAAAUUAUUUUAUACUCUGUGGCUAGGCAAAACUCACUUUUUCUUGUAAAUCUAGAGAUGUGUGAAGUGAUAAAAGAAUGACAUAAAAUUUUAAAA
Molecule: long non-coding RNA, 346 nt
Organism: Manduca sexta (tobacco hornworm)
Lineage: Eukaryota; Metazoa; Arthropoda; Insecta; Lepidoptera; Sphingidae
Exons: 2
Source: RefSeq, a predicted model, not a curated record